GAUGAACGCUGGCGGCGUGCCUAAUACAUGCAAGUCGAGCGAACAGACGAGGAGCUUGCUCCUCUGACGUUAGCGGCGGACGGGUGAGUAACACGUGGAUAACCUACCUAUAAGACUGGGAUAACUUCGGGAAACCGGAGCUAAUACCGGAUAAUAUAUUGAACCGCAUGGUUCAAUAGUGAAAGACGGUUUUGCUGUCACUUAUAGAUGUAUCCGCGCCGCAUUAGCUAGUUGGUAAGGUAACGGCUUACCAAGGCAACGAUGCGUAGCCGACCUGAGAGCGUGAACGGCCACACUGGAACUGAGACACGGUCCAGACUCCUACGGGAGGCCGCGGUAGGGAAUCUUCCGAAAUGGGCGAAAGCCUGACGGAGCAACGCCGCGUGAGUGAUGCAGGUCUUCGGAUCGUAAAACUCUGUUAUUAGGGAAGAACAAAUGUGUAAGUAACUAUGCACGUCUUGACGGUACCUACACAGAAAGCACCGGCUAACUACGUG
Molecule: ribosomal RNA, 497 nt
Filed under: uncultured bacterium
Lineage: Bacteria
Description: partial 16S ribosomal RNA
Rfam family: Bacterial small subunit ribosomal RNA
Source: RNAcentral